GCGGAUGUGGUGGAAUUGGUAGACACGCAGUCUUGAGGGGGCUGUGCCUUAGGGCGUGAGGGUUCAAGUCCCUCCAUCCGCACCA
This 85-nucleotide transfer RNA is filed under the name Thalassomonas actiniarum. RNAcentral's name for it is "tRNA-Leu". It matches the Rfam family "tRNA". Rfam says of the family: Transfer RNA (tRNA) molecules are approximately 80 nucleotides in length. Their secondary structure includes four short double-helical elements and three loops (D, anti-codon, and T loops). The record is from RNAcentral. RNAcentral also lists the same sequence under 1 other name. Lineage: Bacteria; Pseudomonadati; Pseudomonadota; Gammaproteobacteria; Alteromonadales; Colwelliaceae.